Molecule: ribosomal RNA, 747 nt
Filed under: Inocybe sp.
Lineage: Eukaryota; Fungi; Basidiomycota; Agaricomycetes; Agaricales; Inocybaceae
Description: partial large subunit ribosomal RNA
Rfam family: Eukaryotic large subunit ribosomal RNA
Source: RNAcentral
CCCCUAGUAACUGCGAGUGAAGCGGGAAAAGCUCAAAUUUGAAAUCUGGCAGUUUUUGACUGUCUGAGUUGUAAUCUAGAGAAGUGUUACCUGUGCUGGACCGUGUACAAGUCUCCUGGAAUGGAGCAUCAUAGAGGGUGAGAAUCCCGUCUUUGACAUGGACUACCUGUACAUUGUGGUGCACUCUCAAAGAGUCGAGUUGUUUGGGAAUGCAGCUCAAAAUGGGUGGUAAAUGCCAUCUAAAGCUAAAUAUUGGCGAGAGACCGAUAGCGAACAAGUACCGUGAGGGAAAGAUGAAAAGAACUUUGGAAAGAGAGUUAAACAGUACGUGAAAUUGCUGAAAGGGAAACGCUUGAAGUCAGUCACGUUGGCUGGAAAUCAGCCCUGCUUUUGCUUGGUGUACUUUCUGGUUGACGGGUCAGCAUCAAUUUUGACCAUUGGAUAAAGUCGUUGGGAAUGUAGCAUCUUUUGGGAUGUGUUAUAGCCCAGAGUCGCAUACAGUGGUUGGAAUUGAGGAACUCAGCACGCCGCAAGGUUCGGGUUUCGACCACGUUCGUGCUUAGGAUGCUGGCAUAAUGGCUUUAAUCGACCCGUCUUGAAACACGGACCAAGGAGUCUAACAUGCCUGCGAGUGUUUGGGUGGAAAACCCAUGCGCGUAAUGAAAGUGAAAGUUGAGAUCCCUUCAGGGAGCAUUGACGCCCGGACCAGACCUUCUGUGAUGGAUCCGCGGUAGAGCAUGUAUGUUG